RNAcentral lists this ribosomal RNA (468 nucleotides) under uncultured bacterium. Its description in RNAcentral is "partial 16S ribosomal RNA". It matches the Rfam family "Bacterial small subunit ribosomal RNA", at positions 28 to 507 of the family's 1533-position model. The record is from RNAcentral.
GACGAACGCUGGCGGCGUGCUUAACACAUGCAAGUCGAACGGAAAGGCCCUGCUUUUGUGGGGUGCUCGAGUGGCGAACGGGUGAGUAACACGUGAGUAACCUGCCCUUGACUUUGGGAUAACUUCAGGAAGCUGGGGCUAAUACCGUAUAGGAGCUCCUGCUGCAUGGUGGGGGUUGGAAAUUUUCGGCGGUUGGGGAUGGACUCGCGGCUUAUCAGCUUGUUGGUGGGGUAGUGGCUUACCAAGGCUUUGACGGGUAGCCGGCCUGAGAGGGUGACCGGCCACAUUGGGACUGAGAUACGGCCCAGACUCGUACGGGAGGCAGAAGUGGGGAAUAUUGUCCAAUGGGCGGAAGCCUGAUGCAGCAACGCCGCGUGCGGGAUGACGGCCUUCGGGUUGUAAACCGCUUUCGCCUGUGACGAAGCGUGAGUGACGGUAAUGGGUAAAGAAGCACCGGCUAACUACGUG